Molecule: long non-coding RNA, 1265 nt
Organism: Populus nigra (black poplar)
Lineage: Eukaryota; Viridiplantae; Streptophyta; Magnoliopsida; Malpighiales; Salicaceae
Exons: 5
Source: RefSeq, a predicted model, not a curated record
UUGUCUUCCAUAUUUGCAGCAGCAAGGAAGGGAAGCCUGGUCCUUCUCUGGUCUUCCCGGAUGUGAGAUUUGACUCACCUGGGAAGCAAAUGUCUAAAUAUUUGGUUGGUCCGUUUACAGUGAGCAAACCUACCAGUCCAGAGGACUUAAAGUUAAUCCAAUAUGUCUUUGAUUCUUCACUGAGUGAGAGGUCAGAUUCUUUUCCCCCAAGUUAUUGUUUGCUUAGCUGAAUGCAUUUAAGUUCACCAGUUGACCUAUUCUGUACCUGUUUCUGCUAGUGAGAUUAUUGUUCAAUGCAAGAAUUAUCAUUUAUCUCGGAGGGAACUAUACUCUCUGAGACCGAAGGCCUGGCUUGAUGAUAACGUCCUUUCUACGAUAUCUGAUGCCAUGACUUUAGUUAAGAGGAAGAUGGAAGAUUCUGUAAAUUGGUAUCUGCCAAUUGUUUUUGCGGAGAAUGCAGAUGAUCCAUCUAAGUGUAUUUCUUUCGCGAAAAAGCACAGGAUCAAGGAAAACUACAUGUCAGAUCUUUUGUGCUGUGAAGAGGUGAAGUUUGGUUUUCUUUAGUCCAAUUAAUGCAUCCCAUGCUUAGUUAUGCUGUGAAAACUAUAUUUGCAGGCGUUUGUUCCUGUGUUUGACAACAAAAGAAGGCAUUUCUUUCUAUUUGUACUACAAUUGAAAAAGCAAGUUGUUGAGAUAUGGGAUUCAUUAGCUGCAUCAAGUCAGAGUGAUUGGGUUGACAGGCGACUGCAUAACUUGUUGGUUAGCCUGGACGCCCUUUUCAAAGAUGAUAUAGAUCAGAACUACCAAAAAGUUUGGUGCUUCACAGAUUUCAGAGUGGAAAGACCAUCGAAUGUCCCACAGCAACAAAAUGGACAUGACUGUGGUGUGUAUGUUAUCAAGUUUAUGCUAGCACCAGAAGAAGUGACAAAUCCUGAUUUUGUGUUCGACAGUGAAAACGAGAGGUUGGAAGUGGUACUAAGAUUGCUAGCGAGUGAUGUCAACUCAUACAGGAAUAAUUUGGCUUCUAAGGCUGAGGCAUACUAGGAGCAGAGGUUUGGCAAUCAUUGAGAAUUUUUGGCAAGAAAUGAGAAUAUGAAAGACAUAAAUCAUCGAUAGGAAAGAAAGUAUUCAGACAACAUAUAGGAAUUCAACUUCAGGGAAGCUUACCAGAGAAUGUGGGCUGCAUGAGAAAGGAACUCAACGCUCAUCAAAUCAGAUGUGAAUGGCCAUUAUUGUAAACAAUAUAGUAUAAUUGGCAGAGACAU